RNAcentral lists this ribosomal RNA (1251 nucleotides) under Paulownia witches'-broom phytoplasma. RNAcentral's name for it is "bacterial SSU rRNA". It matches the Rfam family "Bacterial small subunit ribosomal RNA", at positions 151 to 1402 of the family's 1533-position model. The record is from RNAcentral. Lineage: Bacteria; Bacillati; Mycoplasmatota; Mollicutes; Acholeplasmatales; Acholeplasmataceae.
UGGAAACGACUGCUAAGACUGGAUAGGAGACAAGAAGGCAUCUUCUUGUUUUUAAAAGACCUAGCAAUAGGUAUGCUUAGGGAGGGGCUUGCGUCACAUUAGUUAGUUGGUGGGGUAAAGGCCUACCAAGACUAUGAUGUGUAGCCGGGCUGAGAGGUUGAACGGCCACAUUGGGACUGAGACACGGCCCAAACUCCUACGGGAGGCAGCAGUAGGGAAUUUUCGGCAAUGGAGGAAACUCUGACCGAGCAACGCCGCGUGAACGAUGAAGUAUUUCGGUACGUAAAGUUCUUUUAUUAAGGAAGAAUAAAUGAUGGAAAAAUCAUUCUGACGGUACCUAAUGAAUAAGCCCCGGCUAACUAUGUGCCAGCAGCCGCGGUAAUACAUAGGGGGCAAGCGUUAUCCGGAAUUAUUGGGCGUAAAGGGUGCGUAGGCGGUUAAAUAAGUUUAUGGUCUAAGUGCAAUGCUCAACAUUGUGAUGCUAUAAAAACUGUUUAGCUAGAGUAAGAUAGAGGCAAGUGGAAUUCCAUGUGUAGUGGUAAAAUGCGUAAAUAUAUGGAGGAACACCAGUAGCGAAGGCGGCUUGCUGGGUCUUUACUGACGCUGAGGCACGAAAGCGUGGGGAGCAAACAGGAUUAGAUACCCUGGUAGUCCACGCCGUAAACGAUGAGUACUAAACGUUGGGUAAAACCAGUGUUGAAGUUAACACAUUAAGUACUCCGCCUGAGUAGUACGUACGCAAGUAUGAAACUUAAAGGAAUUGACGGGACUCCGCACAAGCGGUGGAUCAUGUUGUUUAAUUCGAAGGUACCCGAAAAACCUCACCAGGUCUUGACAUGCUUCUGCAAAGCUGUAGAAACACAGUGGAGGUUAUCAGUUGCACAGGUGGUGCAUGGUUGUCGUCAGCUCGUGUCGUGAGAUGUUGGGUUAAGUCCCGCAACGAGCGCAACCCUUAUUGUUAGUUACCAGCACGUAAUGGUGGGGACUUUAGCAAGACUGCCAGUGAUAAAUUGGAGGAAGGUGGGGACGACGUCAAAUCAUCAUGCCCCUUAUGACCUGGGCUACAAACGUGAUACAAUGGCUGUUACAAAGGGUAGCUGAAGCGCAAGUUUUUGGCGAAUCUCAAAAAAACAGUCUCAGUUCGGAUUGAAGUCUGCAACUCGACUUCAUGAAGUUGGAAUCGCUAGUAAUCGCGAAUCAGCAUGUCGCGGUGAAUACGUUCUCGGGGUUUGUACACACCGCCCGUCAAAC